Molecule: ribosomal RNA, 608 nt
Filed under: uncultured bacterium
Lineage: Bacteria
Description: bacterial SSU rRNA
Rfam family: Bacterial small subunit ribosomal RNA
Source: RNAcentral
CCUACGGGAGGCAGCAGUAAGGAAUAUUGGUCAAUGGACGCAAGUCUGAACCAGCCAUGCCGCGUGAAGGAUUAAGGCCCUCUGGGUUGUAAACUUCUUUUAUAGGGGACGAAAAAAGGGCAUUCUUGCUCACUUGACGGUACCCUAGGAAUAAGCACCGGCUAACUCCGUGCCAGCAGCCGCGGUAAUACGGAGGGUGCAAGCGUUAUCCGGAUUUACUGGGUUUAAAGGGUGCGUAGGUGGGUUGGUAAGUCAGUGGUGAAAUCUUCGAGCUUAACUCGGAAACUGCCAUUGAUACUAUCAAUCUUGAAUCAUCUAGAGGUAAGCGGAAUAUGUCAUGUAGCGGUGAAAUGCUUAGAUAUGACAUAGAACACCAAUUGCGAAGGCAGCUUACUAUGGAUGUAUUGACACUGAGGCACGAAAGCGUGGGGAUCAAACAGGAUUAGAUACCCUGGUAGUCCACGCCCUAAACGAUGGAUACUCGACAUUUGUGAUAUACUAUAAGUGUCUGAGCGAAAGCAUUAAGUAUCCCACCUGGGAAGUACGACCGCAAGGUUGAACUUAAGGAAUUGACGGCUGAGAGNGCGAGACGACGACGAGGGAGGAGG